UGCCAUUAUCUUUUGUGCAUACAUAUAUGUAUUUCUCUUAUUCCUUUAUAUCUUAAUUAAUUCUAGAAAGAAAACAUAUCUAUAAGCAGCAUUAUUUUGUUAUGAUAAUUUACUCAGUGGUAUGACAUUAGGUGCAUAGGUACCGAGGUUUGAUUCCAUUGCACUGGGCUGUUUAGGUUUUUUUGCCUUCUAACACAAGAUUAAAGUAACUUUAGAAAGGAUGUUAAACAUAAUAAAAAAAAAAAAAAAGGUUCCAAUCAUAUAAAGUUUUAUUUUAUAUUUAUUCUGAAUUGAUGUUGUAUGAAAUUACUAAUUAGGAUUAUCAAUUUUUAUUUAAAAAUAGAUUAGUCAUAUACAGAGUGAUCAGUAAAUCAUAAACUCAAUUAUAUUCAAAAUACAAUACUGGAAAAAAGAAAUUUUGGUUUCUUUUAGUUCUUGAUUUAUCAAUUACUAGUUACUUUUUAAAGUUAUUCCUUAUAACUUAAAGGGUUGUUAACUUUAUUUUUUUAAAUGUAACAUAUAUAUUUGGCUAGCUUAUGAAAUAGAAAAUUAUCUAAUUAAGAAAAUAACUGGUCGAUAACAACUUUUGGAACAGUACUUUGGAAGUUAUUCUCAUUUUUAAACUAAACAAAGAAUACGACAGGGAAAUGAUUAGUGAUAGAAAUGGCAUCACCCACGACUUACCUCCAGUUUUAACUUUAAAUUGUUAACAACUUCUAUAAAAGUGGUCCAAAAAUACUUAUCGACCAGUCAUUUUCUUAAUUAAAUAAUUUCUUAUUUUAUAAGUAUGUUGCCAAUUAAAAAUAUAAAGUUGACACCCCAAUAAGUUAGAAAUAGUUCUAAAAAGUAAUUAAUUUAGUUAAAUCAAGAAAUAUAUUCAACUAAAUGAAAUCAAACAUUUUUUUUUAUCAUUAUUAUUAUAUUUACUUUGUGAGUAAAGAAGUGGUUUAUGAUAAACCAAUCACACUUAUUAUCAUUUUUAUUUUAAGUAGUAGUUGGAUAGAUGGAUAAAAUAUAUUCUAUAGCAGUCUUCAUUGUAGAAGAUUUUUUUUUGUUGUUUAAUAUUUGGCCACAAAUUAUAUUAUAGUAUGUUUGAUGCUAAUUCAAAGGCUAUAUUUUCAUAUUAUGAAAAUUUAGCCUAUGAAAUUAAACACUAGAAUUACUCGAGUUAUGCUAAAGUAGUUUGAUUCCCUCUAAAUCUCACUUAAUUCUACAGUUUUUUCUAAUAUUUCAAUUUUUAAAAAACUUAAAAAUGUAAAACAUUGAGUGUUAAAUUCUUUUUAAACUGUUGAUAAUAAUAAACUUAUUCCUCAUAGACAUAUAGAAAGAUGUAGGCAAUGGUGAAUUUCCAGUGCAACAGGAUUCUAAAAGGUGUAUACAAUCUUUGCGUUUUUUGAAUAUCUAGUUGUACUGAGCAACAUGGGCUUUCAUAUGACUGCUUCUUUAGAUUUAGCAGGAAUGUCAAUAGUUUUAGAUGACAAUCUUAAUAUUCAUUAUAGAUGAGAGUUGUUUUAUUGUUAACUAUUUGAUAUCUGAGAUACUAAUAUAAAUAUAAGGUUUAAUAACCAUUUGUUGUGAUACUGUUGAUACCAAAAAUAAAAUGAUCUAUCAUCUUUAAUGUUAUGUUUAAGUGUUAAAUUAAAGUUAAUGAAUUGUUUAUGACUAAUAAAGUAAUAUAUUUAGACA
Long non-coding RNA from Daktulosphaira vitifoliae (grape phylloxera), 1686 nucleotides. RefSeq lists it as uncharacterized. The transcript is spliced from 2 exons. The record is from RefSeq and is a predicted model, not a curated record. Lineage: Eukaryota; Metazoa; Arthropoda; Insecta; Hemiptera; Phylloxeridae.